Molecule: ribosomal RNA, 252 nt
Filed under: uncultured bacterium KC201
Lineage: Bacteria; Pseudomonadati; Pseudomonadota; Gammaproteobacteria
Description: partial 16S rRNA
Rfam family: Bacterial small subunit ribosomal RNA
Source: RNAcentral
AGCCCAAGUGGGAUUAGCUAGUUGGUAAGGUAAUGGCUUACCAAGGCGACGAUCCCUAGCUGGUUUGAGAGGAUGAUCAGCCACACUGGGACUGAGACACGGCCCAGACUCCUACGGGAGGCAGCAGUGGGGAAUAUUGCACAAUGGGCGCAAGCCUGAUGCAGCCAUGCCGCGUGUGUGAAGAAGGCCUUCGGGUUGUAAAGCACUUUCAGUAAGGAGGAAAGGUAAAGUGUUAAUAGCACUUAGCUGUGA